GGGUCAGUAGGUUGGUCGUGCCACCGGUACGUACUGGUCUCACUGAUUCCUCCUUCCCGAAGAACCGUAAUGCCAUUAAUUUGGUGUUGCGGGGAAACAGGACUGUUACUUUGAAAAAAUUAGAGUGUUUAAAGCAAGCUAACGCUUGAAUACAUUAGCAUGGAAUAAUGAAAUAGGACGAUCGAUCCUAUUUUGCUGGUUUCUAGGAUUGACGUA
Molecule: ribosomal RNA, 216 nt
Filed under: Glomeromycotina sp.
Lineage: Eukaryota; Fungi; Glomeromycota
Description: partial small subunit ribosomal RNA
Rfam family: Eukaryotic small subunit ribosomal RNA (bases 75-216)
Source: RNAcentral